GGUGCUCUGGCACAUAAGGUAUAUGCGCCGGACUGAAAAUCCGGUUAACGCGGUUCGAGUCCGCGGGGUACCA
This 73-nucleotide transfer RNA is filed under the name Chitinophagaceae bacterium. RNAcentral's name for it is "tRNA-Phe". It matches the Rfam family "tRNA". Rfam says of the family: Transfer RNA (tRNA) molecules are approximately 80 nucleotides in length. The record is from RNAcentral. Lineage: Bacteria; Pseudomonadati; Bacteroidota; Chitinophagia; Chitinophagales; Chitinophagaceae. RNAcentral also lists the same sequence under 1 other name.